This 305-nucleotide ribosomal RNA is filed under the name uncultured bacterium. RNAcentral describes it as "bacterial SSU rRNA". It matches the Rfam family "Bacterial small subunit ribosomal RNA", at positions 338 to 657 of the family's 1533-position model. The record is from RNAcentral.
CCUACGGGACGCAGCAGUGGGGAAUAUUGCACAAUGGGGGAAACCCAGAUGCAGCAUCGCCGCGUGAAGGAAGACGGUUUUCGGAUUGUAAACUUCUUUUCUUAGUGAAGAAGCAAGUGACGGUAGCUAAGGAAUAAGCAUCGGCUAACUACGUGCCAGCAGCCGCGGCAAUACGUAGGAUGCGAGCGUUAUCCGGAAUUACUGGGUGUAAAGGGAGCGCAGGCGGGACUGCAAGUUUGAUGUGUAAUACCGCAGCUUAACUGCGGGGCUGAAUCGCAAAAUGUAGUUAUUGAGGGGAGUAGAGG